GGGGUAUGCUUAUGAGUUGUUAGAAUGUGUUUGGCACCUCAUUCGAGUCCACCUGUGUAGGAUCGGACCCGAGGGACCGAGGAGGCCAGUAGUGCUAGCAGUUGCAGAGUCAGUCGGCGUCUGCCAGGAGGUGAGUAGAACUAAACUUAAUGUUUUAUUUUAAGAAAUUCUAAUGCCUAAAGCAUGAGCAUGCAUCAUGAUUAUGUAUAGUAGGUUGAUUGCACUAGUUCACGAA
This 235-nucleotide long non-coding RNA is filed under the name Manihot esculenta (cassava). RNAcentral describes it as "long non-coding RNA (MESC_LNC011160)". The record is from RNAcentral. Lineage: Eukaryota; Viridiplantae; Streptophyta; Magnoliopsida; Malpighiales; Euphorbiaceae.